ACGGGUGGCACGCCGAAUCCCUGCCCCCAUCCGCCGGAAACAGAAACCCGAUGGCAGGAGCGGGGGAACCAAAUCCCGGCCGCCGAUGUCAGGCGGCCUUGGGGUGAAGCCGUAAAGCCUCCGGCAACCGAUGAGGAAAUCGUCUACCUCGCUGCCGAAGACACAGGAAUCAUGACCUUCCUGGUAUGCGGCCGGGCUUGUUCCCUGCCCGAACCCGACAGCUCACCUCGCAGGCGUGGGGAAGGAAACU
RNAcentral lists this small RNA (250 nucleotides) under Frankia sp. Its description in RNAcentral is "c-di-AMP sequence". It matches the Rfam family "c-di-AMP riboswitch aptamer (ydaO/yuaA leader)". Rfam says of the family: This family represents a conserved RNA structure found upstream of the ydaO and yuaA genes in Bacillus subtilis and related genes in other bacteria. Lineage: Bacteria; Bacillati; Actinomycetota; Actinomycetes; Frankiales; Frankiaceae. The record is from RNAcentral.